GAGUACUUUUUGUUUGAGUUAGUAAUUACUGAGAUUUUUCAGAAAAAGAAAACUAAACAACAUUUUAAAUGCCAUAUUAAUCCAACUCGGUAUUUCAAUCUCCCACAUAAAUAGGAAAAACUGAAUAAACUUUUAUUUUCUAGGUAGUUAUCCAUGAAGCAAAUUAACUGUUAAACUAAUUAUAAUUUAAAAACAUGGUUUCUGUUUCUACGAAAACAUUUCAAAGUAGCAAAAGGUAGCACAUUUCAGUUUAAUAAAAAAAAUAAACAAGCACACAAACAAAUCUUAGUACUGAAUAAACUUCUCAUUAAAUUUGCUAUGGAUAAAUAACCUACUUCCAAGAAACUAAAAACAUUAGGUACACCAAAAAAAUUAAAUUUUCAGCUUAAAAAUUAAAUCUCUACACCCACAAGGAAAUCUUUCUAUAACAACAAUGAAAAUCCAUGAAUAGGCAUAAAAUUCAAUUUGAUUGCCAAUUAAAAACAUCAAAUCCAAUCGGUUUUCAUUAAAAAAAUAUUUAUAUAAAACAUCUGCGCAAUAUAAUAUCUGCGUUUUUGUGGGUAAACAAAUCUUCAAAUAACAACAACAACAAAAUUGUAUAAUCCACAACACCACCCACAACAAAUCUCACUUAUAUAUCAAAAAAAGAAACGAAAGUCGUCAGUCGUAUCAAAUUGCCUUUACUUCAAUCAAAAUAAUGAUUUAAUGCGUUUGACAUAUCGAUUUUUUGUUUGAAUAAAUGAAAAUUAUUCUCUUAAGCCGCAGUCAGGAGCGAACAGAUCUAACAAAGAGCCUGUGGUGUUUGAAGUUUGUGAAUUGCAUUCACUGGUUGAAUUCACUUAAAUGAUUGCAUUCAGUUAAGUUCUGAAUGCAAUCAUUUAUCAAUGAGCUGUUUGAUUCUUUUGUUAGGUGAUUAAGUAGUGCAGUUUGGAGAAUACAAUUUGACAGCUUUAAGGCUUUAACAAAUGUGUAAAUAGAAAAUGGAAGUUUAGAGGAAACACAGAAACGAAUUAAUAUUUUCCAGAACGUUUUUUUUAAUUCUUAAAGAAAAUGCGAUCAGUUCUGUUUGUUAACUUUAUUAAACACCAUAAACUGGCAUAAUCGUAAUUUGCAGAGUUCAACUUGACAGCUUUAAGGCUUAAACCCAUGGUAAAUAUUUUUACUUAGCGAUUUAAGUAUUUUGCAUCCACAAAAGUUGAUCGAAAAUGCGCUCAGUUCUGUUUGUAAACUUUAUUAAACAACAUAAACUAGCAUAAUUUGACAGCUUUAAGGCCUAAACACAUGGCAAAUAUUUUUAGUUUAGCCAUUUUAUGGCCUCGCAUCCACUAAAUUUGAGCGGUUUGUUACCACCACAAACUGGAAUAUCUGUUAUAAAAUGUUAUAUAGUUUUGUGCGAAAAUGCAUUCAGUUCUGUUUGUAAACUUUAUUGAACAGCACAAACUGACAUAAUAAGUUAUAAAAUAUAAUUUCGUUAUGCAGAUAUGGCGCCCUCUGUAUUUCAACUACUGCCUGCGGUUAAAUCACACAUCGUAUAAAAAUAAUGCAACUCUUCUGUGGUACUUUUAAAAAUAUAACUUAUUUAUUAAGUUACACAUAGAUUUUUGUUGAUAUUUUUACUCUCUAUUCACAAAUAUGACCUCUACAGACUUUUGGAUAUAGUUUGCAGAUACUUUAGGGAAAAAAAAUGUUUACAAACUUUCUAUAAACUUAUCUAAAUGCAAUGUUGAAAGUAACAAGAAGACAACAAAUAUUUGUAGUCUCAUCGGCAUAGUCGUUGUCGUCGUCAUAUCGUCAUCAUCAUCAUCAACGUUGUCGUUGUGUGGUGUUCUUCUUCUGACAGGAGCAGAAAAUGAAAUCAAAAGUUUUUCUGACAGGAAAUCAUUAAUACCUGCUUGCCGAACGGCCGUCGGCGUCGGAGUCGACUGGAAGGGGGGGGGACGAACAGACGAGGCGUGGGGAUUAAGCGGGAAGAAGAUUGAAAAUACACUUCCGUCCUAUGGGGAUAUGAUGAUAUUAUGAACAACCACAACUUAAUAUUAACAUGCAGACACAAGUUGUGUAUAAAGUAAAAUAAAGUUUUCUUCAUUUUUUUAUUUUUAUUUUUUUAUGCUGAACUGUUGUUGUUUUCAAGUUUAGAAUCCCAUGAAAAUUCAUUGAAUGAAUAUGAACAUCCGCGAACAUUUUGCCGGAAAUAUAAGAAUGUACGAGAGUAUAUAUAAGUUACUAUGUGUGAAACAUUAUAACAUGGGAGUAAAGUUUUGAAAUUAUAAACUUUUUAGAAAGAUAUAUACAUUGCAUGGAUUUGAUUAUGAUGAUGUUUUGAGAAAAUACAUAUUUAGAGCCAAAAUUGAAGCGGAUAAAAAGUGAACAAUUACUUUCUUGAAGAAGAGAGAAAAGCAAGGUUUCGUAAAAAAAAGUUUUUCCUUUAAGAAAAAUGGAAGCUGUUUUAACUGGGAUUAAAUGACUAUAAGUUUUAUUUUUUUUUUAAGAAUUAAACUUCAAAAACAUUUAAUCUUUCAAAAAUUAAAGGCUCACAAAAUGUGGCCAUAACUUUCAUUUGCAGGCAACUUUUUGUGAUAGAGUUUUACUUCAAAUUGUUUUCAACUUUAUAGACAACUUUUUGCUCCUAAACUACUUAUCGGAAUUUGACAAUUAGGGUAUCGUUGGAAACGUUUAUCUCGUCCGCUGGUUAAUGGCUAUGUGAUUUGGUAUAAAAUCAAAUUUGGCGUACUCUAGAGGCAAAUAUCAUAAACAAUUGCUUUUAUUUAUUAUUAUUUAAAGUGCCUCUGUAAAUACUU
Molecule: long non-coding RNA, 2798 nt
Organism: Episyrphus balteatus (marmalade hoverfly)
Lineage: Eukaryota; Metazoa; Arthropoda; Insecta; Diptera; Syrphidae
Exons: 2
Source: RefSeq, a predicted model, not a curated record